This 1849-nucleotide long non-coding RNA is filed under the name Nicotiana benthamiana. RNAcentral's name for it is "long non-coding RNA (NBEN_LNC004949)". Lineage: Eukaryota; Viridiplantae; Streptophyta; Magnoliopsida; Solanales; Solanaceae. The record is from RNAcentral.
AAAAUGUUUUCUUUAAUACCAAACAAACCCUCUUUGUCACUUCCGUUUCUUUGAACCUCAGUGGAGUCCGUAAAUUGACCUUAAUAAUGACAUAAGAUUUCCCACUUGUAAGAACAGCCUAAAGUUGGUUUCAUCCUCCAAUUAGUAACUUUGUGCUCGUGUGAGGACAGGAUUUAGUCUUCAGUCAAACAGUUGCUUUUAUGCAGCAUCUCACAACCAUUAUGCAACUGUUGGCCGCCUAGAUUUUCCAAUUGACCCUAUUUUCCUGCACAAAGAAAUGGGCUAAACUGAUAUUAAUCGAAAUGACUUAUUUUUAGCUGUAUAUGAUGCUUGAGCUGAUUACUUGAUAUUAACAUGAAUGAUUCCAGAUACUUGGCACCAGAGUAUGCAUCUAGUGGAAAAUUAACGGAGAAAUCUGAUGUUUACUCAUUUGGCGUUGUGCUUUUGGAGCUUAUUACGGGGCGGAAACCUGUUGACCAAUCUCAGCCCUUAGGUGAUGAAAGCCUGGUUGAAUGGGUAAGUUCACAUUUUUAUUUUUUGUUAAUUUCCUGCAAUGAUUAACGUUGAUGCUGACUUAAAGAGAAACUAAAUAUUGAAACCUGGGCCCAGCAUGGAGAGUCGAAGGAAAUCUUUUAUUUUGAGGGGGGGGGGGGGGACCAUUNNNNNNNNNNNNNNNNNNNNNNNNNNNNNNNNNNNNNNNNAAAUCUUUUUUUUUGGGGGGGGGGGGGGGUGACCAUUAUGGAGAAUCAAAGGAGAUAGUUCAUUUCAUUUGAGUUUUUUGCAUAAACAUAAUAUUUCGUGUUUCAUGGAUAGUUGGCUGGAGUGAUAUGUAAUAAAAUGAAUUUGAUUUAUUAAAAAGAUGUAGAGGAGUGAUUUAGGAAUAGCACAACUAGGACUGUAAAAAAAAAAGUGCUAAAACACUAACAUAAUUGAGACUAGUAUAAACUGACUUGGAAAUGAUGUCUAGUACAAGUGGCAAGGUCAAGAUCACCUAACUGCAAGCUUGUGAUUUCACCUUUUCUUGGAAGCGAAGCGGGUAGCAUCAGAAUAUUCCUACUUCUUUCCACUUAGUUAGAUUACCAGGUUUAUCUGGCAGUGGUUUACACUCAACAUUUAAUUUUCUGUUAGUACUGCUAAUUGUGUAGCUGUGAAGUCUAAUUUCGUUUCUACUUAAUUUACUUUCUAAGUUCCAUCACCCUGGGAGAAGAUGACAAUAAAAUCCUCGCUUUUCAUUAGCAAAAACAAAACAUAAAGUUCAAGCUAUGUGAUUGCGCCAAGUACUAUUUACCUUUUUAGUUUAGAAAUAUGCGACCUCCACACUUUCUGGUUGCGCUUCUUGUUCUUUUGAGAUUAUACUAAAUUAAGUUGCAAGAAGAUUAUUUAAACUAACAAGUUCAUAACAAAACCGGUUGAAGUUAAUAAAAGAAAAGGACAUGGUAGUUCUUUAUCAGCAAAUAAAAGAAAAGAACAUGAAAGAAAAGAUAAGGCACCCCAUUCCCAUGCGGCCCCACCCAUUCCGGACCACGUGCCAACUUUACUUAACCAUUCUCUUUGAUCCCUUACUUUAAACUAAGAGGAUAAAAUGUAGUAACCCAUGCCUUUUUAUUCCCUGUACCCCUAAAUACCGUUAGACAGAAUAUGAGGAAGGGGUGAUACUGCUCUUAUCCUUGUCUGACUAAUAAUAUCACUAUUCGCUCUAAGGAUGGAACUGUUGAAAGUUUGUCCUGUUUGCUUAUUCAUUAUUCUCAGUCACUUGGGUGUGUCUUCGCUAAGUGAAAGUUGAGAAUAUUACCUUCUAUCUUGUAGGCUCGACCUUUGCUUACUCAAGCACUUGAGACUGAAAAUUUUG